GGCACAUGGGUAACGUUUGGCAGUCAGAUUACAGAUGAGGUGGCCGAGCAGCUGAUGACCAUAGCGUAUGAGAGUGGGGUCAAUCUGUUUGACACAGCGGAGGUGUACGCUGCUGGAAAAGCUGAAGCCAUAUUGGGUAAUAUCAUCAAAAGAAGUCCUGGAGG
Molecule: long non-coding RNA, 164 nt
Organism: Salvelinus sp. IW2-2015
Lineage: Eukaryota; Metazoa; Chordata; Actinopteri; Salmoniformes; Salmonidae
Source: RefSeq, a predicted model, not a curated record